GCGGGUGUAAUUCAGUGGUAGAAUGCUUCCUUGCCAAGGAAGAUGUCGUGAGUUCGAAUCUCAUCGCCCGCUCCA
RNAcentral lists this transfer RNA (75 nucleotides) under Anaerolineae bacterium CFX9. Its description in RNAcentral is "tRNA-Gly". It matches the Rfam family "tRNA". Rfam says of the family: Transfer RNA (tRNA) molecules are approximately 80 nucleotides in length. Their secondary structure includes four short double-helical elements and three loops (D, anti-codon, and T loops). Lineage: Bacteria; Bacillati; Chloroflexota; Anaerolineae. The record is from RNAcentral.